GGGCUUGGGAUACCUGGG
This 18-nucleotide non-coding RNA is filed under the name Arabidopsis thaliana (thale cress). Lineage: Eukaryota; Viridiplantae; Streptophyta; Magnoliopsida; Brassicales; Brassicaceae. The record is from RNAcentral.